Trichomalopsis sarcophagae is the source of this 45-nucleotide non-coding RNA. Lineage: Eukaryota; Metazoa; Arthropoda; Insecta; Hymenoptera; Pteromalidae. The record is from Rfam.
CAAUCGGCUCUUUUGAGGGCCACCACAUUAAUUAUAUACGUGGAA